This 4043-nucleotide long non-coding RNA is filed under the name Phoenix dactylifera (date palm). RNAcentral describes it as "long non-coding RNA (PDAC_LNC003492)". The record is from RNAcentral. Lineage: Eukaryota; Viridiplantae; Streptophyta; Magnoliopsida; Arecales; Arecaceae.
CUUGGAGGGAUCGACUUUCUGGAAGUUCUUGACAACGGUGACGAUCCGAUCGGCAACCUCAGACUUGUCGAGGAAGGUGCCCCUGGCCUCAUCGGAGAAGGCGCGGCGGUGGAGGAGCUGGGAGAAGGAGAGGGGGGCUGCCGGCCGAAGAGGCGCCGGAGAUGUCACCAUCACCCUGAGGUGCUUCAGGAGAGCGCUUCUUGCCGCCGCCGCCGCCAUUGGAGAGAAGAGCAAGAAAAAGCUCGGAGCUUUAUGAGCGAUCUCUUCCUCGUGUUUUAUCGCGAAGGGAAGAAACUACCCUUCGAGAACCUUUCGAGUUCUGUUCUGGUGCUCCCGCGGAGCAGUGGUUGCCCUUCCUCGCUCCCUCCCCCCAGCUUAAAAUACCAUAAUGGAUAGACUACUUUUAGUGCAAAUGCAUUAAAAUGCUAUGAAUAGAUCAAGAAAAGAGUCUAAUUCCGAGCUCAAAGUGAAUUUUUAGGACAAAACAGCCUGUUGAGAGUUUUAAGAAAGCAGACAGAGACCAAAGCAACACAGACAAUGUCUCAUUUUGCCUGAGGAUGUGAAGCAAUAAAGUCAACGGCUACGUUGAUGGAAUCAAUCUUGUCUGCUUCGUUGUCUGGGAUCUCAAACCCAAAUUCUUCCUCUAGGGCCAUGACAAUCUCUACAGAGUCCAAACUGUCCAGACCAAGGUCCUUCUGGAAAUGAGCAUUUGGUGUGACCUGCACAAAGAUCACAAUAUUAGACCACUCUCAUUAGUAGUAUAUCAAUUUACAGUGUCAAGUUUGGCCAAUGAUGUUACAAAUUUUUGGCAUUCAUGAAUUUGGAACCAACAAUUUUCAGAUGCAUUUUUAUUACAUUUUUCUACAAUAAUUCUCCAUAGGCUAGUCACUCAUCAUUGUUACUAGCAAUUGUUGAAUAACAAUAGUAGCGAUGCUGACAAUAAUGAUGAACAUCUACCAACAUGCCAUUGCAGCCAGUCUUGCAAAAUACCACAGGGCAAUACUUGAGCUGGUCAAAACAGCAAGUUAUAAUCUUUGGUGGGCAAUGUAAUAUUCCAAACAAGCAUAUUCUAAAAAUUUUAAUUAUUUUAUGACAAAAAACAUACCACCUCAAAAUUUUAUUCUUAUAAAAAUUACAGCUUACGUAGCAACAUCUCAAAGAUGCCGCAGCAUUUUAAAAUUUUUACAUAAUCCCCAUCAUGCAGAAUAAGUAUAAUUUCUUGAAGAAUAUUGGCCGAACAUCACUCUGAAGUAAAUGUUGUCCCUCUUCUGCUCUGUUACGCAACUCUGGCCCACAAUGGCCCACAAUGUGGGCCUCAUGUGACUCAUAAUAUUUGUCCUCAAAAGUCCCCCAAGUUUGCAGGAACACUUCCUCUAGCCUCAUCUAUUACUGUUUAAAACAUCUUUCGAUCAUGAUUGAGGCAUAAAUUUUAAGUAGAUAGUAUGUAUAAACAUUCCACCCUAUUCACAAGCUACAUAGCUUGUUUUACUUCUAAAUCUUUGACCCAUUAACCUUGAUAAAUUAAAUUUAGCAUUGGACAUUAAAUUUGUCCUGUCAAGCAGCAAUACAUCAUUUGAGAGUUAAAUACUAUAUGGUCCUUCCAGAAUCAAUAAUCCAUUUAUAAUAGUCUAAUAUGAUGAUGGUUUAAAAGUUGAUUUCUCGUGCAGGCUCAGGUAAAAAUUUCAUUGUGGUGUCACAGCUACAUGUAUUACUGCUCCAUGCAUGUUUGUGACAAUAUGAAGAUCGUCCUUUGGUAUAUGCUAUCGAUCAGUUACCUUCAAUAUGCCAAUAAGGCAGAUAAAUCUUGCUCUUGUCUAGAUUUUUUUCAUCAAUUGCCUAUGCAUGUCACAUAUCUUAGUUUUUUUUUUUCAAUUGCAUGAUCGUGCAUUAUUUUUUAAAUUUUCAAUAUAAUGAUCUUCUAUAAGCAACAUCCUUGCAAGAAAACCAAAAUUGGAACUCAAGCAUCAACUCUUCCAAGAAGAGAUUUGAAUGCAGCCUUAAGAAUGUAAAGAAUAGCAUUUCAAAAUCCGAGGAAAAAGCUACGAAUGAAUGUGAAGAAACAUCAAACCUGCAGAAGAAGGAGAAAAAUAGCAAAGUGCACAUAGAUACAACCUCUUGUCAAGGCAUUAGAAUGCUAAUCUUUAGUAUAAAAAUUCAAAUAAGAAACAAAAAACCAUUUUCCUUUGAUUAAGUCAAAUGAAUGUGAUCUAUAAUUGUAUUAAUGCAGGAAUCAGAUGAUUUCAUGUUACAUUUCAUUGUCUAUUCUCUUCUCUAUUAUAUUUAAUUCAGAUAAGUUCAUGUUGUUUCCCGAAAUUCUUGAGGCUAAGUGAUGCAAUGUUUCACCAAACGCAUAUAGAACCUUAAUCAUGCUACAGAAGAAUACAUGCAUCCAGGGUGCAAUUGAAGGAGUCACAAUGGUAACAACUCAGAAAAUCCUUCUAAUAUGGCUUAUGCACUAUUAAGUAAUGCUGAUAGGCUCCAGCUUGAAGAAUGAAAGGGGAAAAAUACAGAGGAAUCUAUGAGUUCUUUUUUUUGGGGGGGAGGGGGCGGGGGACGGAGGAGCGUAGGGGAGAAAGGUGAUAUGAUAAAGAUGGCAAGACCUUGAAACAUUCACAUAAUUUGAGGUUGCAGGAUUUAUCCAGCUUUUAGAAAAAGAUACGGAAGAUAAUAAUUGAACCUUUUUCAUCAUUAAAUUAAGCACAACAUGGUACCAGUCUUGUAAUGGAUCAUAACAUCACAUGUUUAUUUGGAAUGUGAUUAAUUUAGUGAAUAACUAUAAAAUAGAAAACCAAAAAAAUAUAGCAAAUAACACAAAUGUGAAAACAAGGAAGAGGAAACUGAGAAAUUUGAGGUACUGCAUCUAUUAUUAUCCAUAGGCCAAUAAAAAAUUAGUAAUAUAUCAAGGAUGAGAACAGGUACAGAUUGAGAUAAUGAAUAAAGAACUGGGGCAAAGAUCUAAGAAAUUUGGUUAGAAAAACAUCAAGGCAACAAGACCUACUUCUGCACAUGCUGAGUUAUUAUCUAUUCUAGAAGUCACAGACAAAUAGUGUUCUAGGAAUGCCCAUGGGAUACUAUCAAACCAUAUUCAUAAUCAGCAUCAGCAGGAAUUGUGAACAAAGCCAUUCAAACAUAUUUCAAGCUAUUUCAGUUUUCUAACCACUUUCUUUCAAUUAAAUGUUACUUCACCCUCUGCUGUCUAUGCUUGGAAAUAAGACCAUGGUGCAUGAAAUUAGAACAGCAAGAACUCAUGUAUAUUACUACGGAUAGAUGCAUAUAGACUAAAGUUUAAAUGUUAGCUACGAUGCUGCAUUUAUAUAAUUUUAAUAACACUUCUCAAAAUUAUUAGUUGAACAACACCAAGAAAACAAUAAAAAACAUUUCUUUUUUUAAUCAAGCGCAAAGAGAAGGAAAGCACAAUACGAUCGGCAAACUAACUCAAUGGAAAGACGCCAACAGGAUCAUAUAGUUUGGAUUUGUGGAUUCAAACCAAAUUUAUGCAGUAAAACAAAUAUAUAGAUAAAAAUUAAUGAGACGUAUCAUUAAAACACACGACAUAAAAUGCUAAUCGUGUGACGAAUUAUGAUAAUUCGGAAAAUUCCAAACGCCGAAACACGUGGAAUAUGACAAUAAAACGGUUCCUUAAGAUUUAAGAAGAGUUUCAGCAAUGAAAUAAACCGUAAAUGAACCCUAAUUUCCAAGCUAACACUCGAAUCAGAGAAACCCUAGACUUAGGAGGAAUGGGAGGAUUUGGGGAUUGAGAUUACCUUGGAGGGAUCGACUUUCUGGAAGUUCUUGACAACGGUGACGAUCCGAUCGGCAACCUCAGACUUGUCGAGGAAGGUGCCCCUGGCCUCAUCGGAGAAGGCGCGGCGGUGGAGGAGCUGGGCGAAGGAGAGGGGGGCUGCCGGCCGAAGAGGCGCCGGAGAUGUCACCAUCACCCUGAGGUGCUUCAGGAGAGCGCUUCUUGCCGCCGCCGCCGCCAUUGGAGAGAAGAGCAAGAAAAAGCUCGGAGCUUUAUGAGCGAUCUCUUCCUCGUGUUUUAU